GAUGAACGCUGGCGGCGUGCCUAAUACAUGCAAGUCGAGCGAACAGAUGAGGAGCUUGCUCCUCUGACGUUAGCGGCGGACGGGUGAGUAACACGCGGAUAACCUACCUAUAAGACUGGGAUAACUUCGGGAAACCGGAGCUAAUACCGGAUAAUAUAUUGAACCGCAUGGUUCAAUAGUGAAAGACGGUUUUGCUGUCACUUAUAGAUGGAUCCGCGCCGCAUUAGCUAGUUGGUAAGGUAACGGCUUACCAAGGCAACGAUGCGUAGCCGACCUGAGAGGGUGAUCGGCCACACUGGAACUGAGACACGGUCCAGACUCCUACGGGAGGCAGCAGUAGGGAAUCUUCCGCAAUGGGCGAAAGCCUGACGGAGCAACGCCGCGUGAGUGAUGAAGGUCUUCGGGUCGUAAAACUCUGUUAUUAGGGAAGAACAAAUGUGUAAGUAACUAUGCACGUCUUGACGGUACCUAAUCAGAAAGCCACGGCUAACUACGUG
Molecule: ribosomal RNA, 497 nt
Filed under: uncultured bacterium
Lineage: Bacteria
Description: partial 16S ribosomal RNA
Rfam family: Bacterial small subunit ribosomal RNA
Source: RNAcentral